CCUACGGGAGGCAGCAGUGGGGAAUAUUGCACAAUGGGGGAAACCCUGAUGCAGCGACGCCGCGUGAGUGAAGAAGUAUUUCGGUAUGUAAAGCUCUAUCAGCAGGGAAGAAAAUGGAGGGUACCGGACAAGAAAGCCCGGGCUAACUACGGCCCAGCAGCGGCGGUAAAACGUAGGGGGCAAGCGUUACCCGGUUUUACGGGGUGUAAAGGGAGCGUAGAGGGCAGCACAAGUCUGAAGUGAAAGCCCGGGGCUUAACCCCGGGACUGCUUUGGAAACUGUGGAGCUAGAGUGCAGGAGAGGUAAGUGGAAUUCCUAGUGUAGCGGUGAAAUGCGUAGAUAUUAGGAGGAACACCAGUGGCGAAGGCGGCUUACUGGACUGUAACUGACGUUGAGGCUCGAAGGCCUGGGGAGCGAAAAGGAUUAGAUACCCCUGUAGUC
This 441-nucleotide ribosomal RNA is filed under the name uncultured bacterium. RNAcentral describes it as "partial 16S ribosomal RNA". It matches the Rfam family "Bacterial small subunit ribosomal RNA", at positions 338 to 795 of the family's 1533-position model. The record is from RNAcentral.